RNAcentral lists this ribosomal RNA (495 nucleotides) under uncultured bacterium. Its description in RNAcentral is "partial 16S ribosomal RNA". It matches the Rfam family "Bacterial small subunit ribosomal RNA", at positions 28 to 505 of the family's 1533-position model. The record is from RNAcentral.
GAUGAACGCUGGCGGCGUGCCUAAUACAUGCAAGUCGAGCGAACAGACGAGGAGCUUGCUCCUCUGACGUUAGCGGCGGACGGGUGAGUAACACGUGGAUAACCUACCUAUAAGACUGGGAUAACUUCGGGAAACCGGAGCUAAUACCGGAUAAUAUAUUGAACCGCAUGGUUCAAUAGUGAAAGACGGUUUUGCUGUCACUUAUAGAUGGAUCCGCGCCGCAUUAGCUAGUUGGUAAGGUAACGGCUUACCAAGGCAACGAUGCGUAGCCGACCUGAGAGGGUGAUCGGCCACACUGGAACUGAGACACGGUCCAGACUCCUACGGGCGGCAGCAGUAGGGAAUCUGCCGCAAUGGGCGAAAGCCUGAAGGAGCAACGCAGCGUGAGUGAUGAAGGUCGUCGGAUCGUAAAACUCUGUUAUUAGGGAAGAACAAAUGUGUAAGUAACUAUGCACGUCUUGACGGUACCUAAUCAGAAAGCCACGGCUAACUACG